CGUAUAUUAAAGUUGUUGCAGUUAAAAGNUCGUAGUUGAAUUUCGGAGUUUGUCGGUUGGUCGGGCUUCACUGUCCGCACUGACCUGAUAGAUUCCUACCUUCUGAACAACCAGCAUGCUAUUAAGUUAGUGCGUUGGGGAAGCAGAGCUAUUACCUUGAAAAAUUAGAGUGCUUAAAGCAGGCUUAUGCUUGAAUAGAUUAGCAUGGAAUAAUAAAUAGGACGGCAUGGUUCUAUUUUAGUUGGUUUCUAGGAUCACCGUAAUGAUUAAUAGGGAUAUUGGGGGCAUUAGUAUUCAAUUGUCAGAGGUGAAAUUCUUGGAUUUAUUGAAGACUAACUACUGCGAAAGCAUUUGCCAAGGAUGUUUUCAUUAAUCAAGAACGAAAGUUAGGGGAUCGAAGACGAUCAGAUACCGUCGUAGUCUUAACCAUAAACUAUGCCGACUAGGGAUCGGAUGAUGUUAAUUUUUUUAAUGACUCAUUCGGCGCCUUACG
RNAcentral lists this ribosomal RNA (493 nucleotides) under uncultured Acaulospora. RNAcentral's name for it is "SSU rRNA". It matches the Rfam family "Eukaryotic small subunit ribosomal RNA", at positions 598 to 1092 of the family's 1831-position model. Lineage: Eukaryota; Fungi; Glomeromycota; Glomeromycetes; Diversisporales; Acaulosporaceae. The record is from RNAcentral.